This is a long non-coding RNA of Hypanus sabinus (Atlantic stingray), 10970 nucleotides long. RefSeq lists it as uncharacterized. The record is from RefSeq and is a predicted model, not a curated record. Lineage: Eukaryota; Metazoa; Chordata; Chondrichthyes; Myliobatiformes; Dasyatidae. The transcript has 5 exons.
AAACUGGAUAGGAAUUCUUUCGUAUCACUUAUGGAUUGUGAUACUCAGGAUUGUGAUGCUGUGGGCAACUCAGUUGAGGCAAAUAUGGUUGUUUUGAAGUGUUGCAUUGCUGUUGUGAUGCAGGUGGGUUUUGGGAAUUUGUAAACAUUUACCCACAAUUUGCUAAUAACAGUGGGCCUUCCACACUUUCUGCUGACGGAUGGACAGGUAUACUUACUGCAGUUGUUGACUGAACCUGGCAGCCAAUUCCUACACACGGUCAGAGGUUUCCAUGAUAUAGAAUUGUUUCACGUUGGAGGUAGCUGGGGUUGAGGGCUAUGCUGGGUAGGGCAAGCAGUGUUGUGCUAUGGCUCUGGGAUGGUCAAAUAAAUCGGGCUGAGAUGAAAGAUGUUCAAAGUAUUUGCUAGCUUGUAAACCGCUCUCUUUAGUUUAGCUAACCAUAAGGCAGCUAAAACUUCCUGAAACCUUCUGACAACCAAAGCCAUUUGGAACAGUCAAAGGCAGUAAAUUUCUGAAAUAAAUAAAAGCUUCACUGAAAUUUUAAAAAUAGAAUUAUGAAAACUGAAGUCACUUGCAAGCACUCAAAAUAUUUAGCUAAGCCAUUCAAAAAAUCUAAAUUAGCCAACAAUUACCUUAGACCUUCAGAACCGCUCUGCUCCAUUAAAAUCAAUAACAAACUUCGCAGAUUCCUAAUUGUAAGUGGUGUGGGGGUUGCUGCAACUUUGAAAACCCUCUCUUGACUCCACGAGGAGUCCAGGAUCAGAGGAAAGGAUCAGCACAUGAUUGACUGCAACUUCAGCGCUUUUUAAAAAUGUUUUCUGGGAAAUCCUGAUGAAGCACAGUGAGGCUGGGAAAUGCCAAUAUUUCCCUGAAAGAAAAAUCUCCUUCUUUACCUCCUAGUGUUCCUAUCCUGAUCAAUAAUGCAACUCAGAAUUCUGGAAUUGUGCAGCUGCAUUUUAAAAAAACUGUUUAAAAUAUUCAGCAAAAAUGGAAUGAAUAAAAGUUGCAGGUGCUGGAAAUCUAAAAUAAAAACACAACUUUUUUUUAAAUUUAUUGAGAAACAGUGUGAAAUAGGCCCUUCUGGCCCUUUGAGCCAUGCUGCCCAGCAAUCUCCUGAGUUAAUCCUACCUCAAACAUGGGACAAUUUACAAUGAGCAAUUAACCUACCAACCAGUACGUUUUUAGACGGUGGGAGGAAACUGGAGAACCCGCAGGAAAUCUACAUGGUCACGAGGAAAAUGUACAAACUCCUGACAGACAGCAGCCGGAAUUGAACUGUGAAGCGUUUUGCGAGCCACGAAUCUACCGUGCUGCCCCAUGCUGUCUGUAGAUCAGCAGUGGAAAGAGAAAAAGAUCUUUCAAUUCAAAAUUGGGAAAAGCGAAUAAACAGGAUAGAUAAGGCAAAAUUUUAUCUCUGAUUGUGUGCGGCCACCGGGUGCUCCCUCAGCAACAUAAAGCUCCUCAUUUCUGCCUCUUAACCAGUUCUGACGAAAGGUCUUUCACUUGAAAAAUUAACUCUGCUUAACUUUCCAAACUUGCCACCUGAUUUGCUGAAUGCUUUCCACAUUUUCUAUUUUUUAAUUUAACAGUUUCAGGAUUUGAUUUGUAUGGAAGUUAUCCAAGCAACUUGGCAAUGCAGUGAACUAGAGCACUUAAGGAAAAUUAACUGCACAUCAGUUCUAUGAGAGACAAUAUGGAUAAAGGCUAUAUCAUUAUUGACUAAUUGUGAUUUCCCACAUAUCCAUACAACUGAUGUCUGUAUACCGUACUGUGCAGAAGUUUUAGGCACGUUUAUGUAUAUAGCUACAGCACCUAAGAUUUUUGCACUGUAUUGUAAUUGUCAAUGUGGUGCAACAGGCAAGUUUGUCAAUCUGGUGGGAGCAAAGGAUGUUGGGAAUAGUGAGAAUGGAGAUUCAGGGAGAGGUAUGGGACAGGUGGCUGAAAAAGAGUGCCAGGGGUGGGAGGAGAUGUGGAUGCAGACAUACCUGGCCUUGAGACACCAGGCAAGGCCAUUUGAUUCCACACAAUUGGUUUAUUAAUCAUUACAGAAUGUCACUCCGGUGCUUCCUGCUCCUUCUCCUCUCCCUUCCCCUGUCCCAUUCUCAGUCCACAACAGAGACUCAUUUUUGAAACAAAUUUAUCAUCAGUCAAAUAUGUCAUGAAAUUUGUUUCUCUUUUCUAUUUGUGGCAGCAGUACUGUUCAAUAUAUAAAAUUACUACAGUACUGUGCAAAAGUCUUAGGCACCUUAGCUAUAAAUAUGUGUCUAAGACUUUUGCAUGGUACUGUAAGUCUUUGAGAAUUAGGGCAUGAAAUUUAGGCAUUAAAAUUUAGUAAGGCAUUAACGGCUUAUUGCAGUUUGCCACAUAUCUAUACAAUUAAUAUCUGCAUUUAUCUUUAUAUCGUUAGAAAAUUAGCUAGUGCUCAGAGAGUGUGAAAAUGAUUGAGUAGAAACCGCAACCCAGUUCAGUUAGCUUUGAGCAGCAAUAAGUAAAUACCUAGGUAGAUGUAAGCAAACCAGAAAAAAAUCCCUUCAAUGAAAUACUAUGAGCUCAUCUCACCUAUUCACUAAUUCAAUUGUACGUGACUUUCUAGACAGUAUUGUGGACACAAAUAGAGAAUGAGGAAGCUUCUUGGAGCCUUGGCAGUAGUGUGCGUCAGAUACCUCAGUGCUUUGUAACAAUUAUAAGAUCCGUUUUGAGGAAAAAAACAGUUAUAUCUAUUGAAUUAAGAAAAUUGCAUUUAUUGUGCAUGUCACCCUGACAUGCUCACUGAUAAAUAAUUGCUUGCUUCAUUCUCUGGAAGUUAUACAUAAGUACAAAUGGCAUUGAAGCACAUCCCAGAAAAGAGAUUAACUCCACAAACCAGCUCAUACAAUUACUCCGAUACCUUUGUCGUCGUUUGAUGUGAUGGAAUCUGUUAUGUCCUUUUGUUCUUCAUAGGAUAUCAGAUUUUUUUUGUUGCACUUGAAGAUAGGAACUCUGCGAAAUACAUUGAGAAUUGAAAGUGAUUCAGACGACAAUGUGAAAAAUUAUUUCCCAGUACUUGGGGCUCAGAAUGAAUGUGCUGAUGUAGCUAGAAGUUAGGAACGCAGAUGAAAUGUUAUCUUCCAUGGCAAUACGCUGUGGAAUAAGAGGGUUGCUUGGAAAUGUAUCCCUAAUUUGUUGCUCUAAAUGUGUGCAAGCUAAUAUCAGUACAUUGUUUCAUACACAGAAAAAAAUCUGCAGAUGUGAAAAUCCAAACCGACGUACACAAUAUUCCGGAGGAACUCAGCAGCCCGGGCAGCAUCUAUGGAAACGAGCAAAUGGGUGACGUUUUGGGCCAAGACCCUUCAUCAGGGUCCUUACUUCAGUCUUGAAUGAAGUCCUCGGCCUGAAAAGUCGAUUGGUUACUCUUUUCCAUAGAUGCUGCCUGGCCUGCUGAGUUCUUCCAGCAUUUUGUUUGCAUUGGUCAGCACAUUAUUCUCUGCUUCUGAAUUUCACUUAUUGGACUUUGGAAGCAAACUAUAAAGGAGUGAUGCAGUUACAAAAUGCAUUACCUGCUGCUAAAUCGGGAAGAAUUUCUGGAUGAGAUAUAUGGUGUCAGUAGAACCAUACCCAGUAUAAGUUUGCUUUUCAGAUGUUUUGGCAUAAUCAAUCACUAGAUUGAUUCCUGGAAAGAAAGAACAAUUUGAGAGGUUACGUCCAUCCAUCCACUCUGUGCCAUGUUGUGUGACGUGGGAGAUCAUGUUCUCAUGACCAUGAUUAUUCUUGGCAAAUCUUUCUACAGAAGUCAUUUGCCAUUGUCUUAUUCUGGGCAGUGUCUUUACAAGAUGGGUGACCUCAGCCAUUAUCAAUACUCUUCAGAGAUUGUCUGCCAGGCAUCAGUGGUUGCAUAACCAGGACUUGUGAUAUGCACCAGCUGCUCAUACGACCAUCCACCAUCUGCUCCCACGAUUUCACAUGAUCCUGAUCGGGGGCUAAGUAGGUGCUACACCUUGCCCAAGGGUGAACUGCAGGCUAGCAGAGAGCAAGAGCACCUUACACCUCCUUCGGUAGAGUAGUUAUGUAGAUUGACUGUUACAUUGGGAAGGGUGAAAGUGGAGUGCCAUGGGAGGGAUGUGGGACAGAUGGCAGAGGAGUGCCGGGGUGAGGCACGGUUUGGGUGCAGGCACACCCAGCUGUGAGACACCAGGCAAGUUCAUUUGAUCCAAACAAUUAGCUUAUUCAUCAUUAUAGAACAUCUCCCUGGUGCCUCCCUCUCCCUCCCAUUUCCCUUCCCGUUUGCCAACCAUGAUUUUCCUCUCCCUGUCCCCUUCCCACUCUCAGUCCACAACAUAGACCCAUAUCAGAGUCAGGUUUAUCAUCACUCACAUAUGUCAUGUUUUAUUGUUUGCAGCACCUGUACAGUGCAAUACUGUGCAAAUGUCUUAGACACUCUACCUAUAUCUAUCUGCCUGAGACUUUUGCACGUUAGGGUAGAUCUUUGAGAAGUAAGGCUGGAGUUGUUCUGCUGGGUCUUGCCCUUCAGUGGUGUUGCUCUCCCUCCUGCUCAUCUUAUCUCCGGAGUUCUUCAGCCUGCUCAGGCGACAGAUCUCCUUGCUGCUUCUCCUUCAUGAUGUGCUGCUGCCUUCAGCUUGCACACAGGCACCAUACUGCAGUCCUGUGAGUACCAUCACGUUCCUGUUGAGCAGCUGGCACAGGAUGACCACGACAGCAUCACGCACACAAACCUCAUAUUCACAAGAGAUAACGUUGAUACUCACACGGAUCUUAAUUAUUUACUUGCUUAGAGAUACGGUGUGGAAUGGGCCCUACCGUCCUUUCGAGCCACGGCGCCCAGCAAUCCCCCGGUUUAACCCUAGCCUCAUCACAGAACGAUUCACAAUGACCAAUUACUCUACCAACUGGUAAGUCUUUGGUCUGUGGGAGGAAACUGGAGCAUCCAUAGGAAACCCACAUGGUCGUGGGGAGAUUGUACAAACUCCUUAUAGGCUGCGCUGAGCAUUGAACCCAGAGCACCUGUAUUGUAAAGUGUUGUGCUAACCACUACGCUACUGUGCUGCCUAAGCUGCUUAAUUGUUGUGUGAACUAGUGUCAGGAGCAUAAGUUCCCCUUGCUGCCUAGAAGGGGUUUAUACAUUCUCUCCGGGACCACGUGGGUUUCCUCUGGCUGCUCCCGUCUCUUACCACAGUCCAAAGAUGUACCAGUCAGCAAGUUAAUUGGCCAUUGUAAAUUGUCCUGUAAUUAGGCUGAUUAAAUUGAAAAGGUUAGGACUUUAUUUCUCAGAAUGUACAAGACUAAGAGGAGAUUUGAUGGGGGUAUACAAAGUUAUGAGGGGUAUAGAUAGGGUAAGAGUAAGCGGGCUUUUUCCACUGAGGUUAGGUGAGACUACAAUCAGAAGUCACGGAUUAAAAGUGAAAGGUGAAAGGUUCAAGAGGAUCAUGAGAGGAAACUUCUUCAUUCAGUGGGUCGUGAAGGUAUGGAACAAGUCAUGCAUGUGAGCUUUAUUUCAGUGUUUAAGGGAAGUUUGGAUAGGUACAUGAAUGGUAGGGGUAUGGAGGGCAAUGGUCCUGCUGCACAUCAAUGGGAGUAAGCAGUUAAAAUGGUUCAGCACGCACUACAAGGACCAAAGGGCUUGUUUCUGUCCUGUACUUUUCUAUGACUCUAAAUCGGGUGAUUGCUGGGCAGUGGGGCUCAAAGGGCCGGACGGGCCUAUUCUAUGCUGCAUUGCGAUACAUAAAUAAAUAAAUUACAGCAUGUCAAACUGAAGCCACCAGUAAUGGAGCGUUGCUAUUACAGUCACCAAUAAGGUAACUUUUAUGAGCAGCUAACUGCUGAAACAAAAAAAAACACAGCCUUGUUAGUUGUAGCACAGUCUAUGAAAUACAAUCACCUUCGAAGUUGUCCAGUCAAAUAUUCCAGUGGUCAGCGGAAUAGACUGAAAUAUAACAAAGUAGCAGGAGAUACCUUUCAUUUUUAUUUUGUCACUGUUCAGUCAAGGUCAUAGGUUGCAUACAAAGCUCCAAUUUAUGCCAGCAAGGAACGAAAUCUAAUGUCAUUAGAUGCACGGCCGAUGCCAGAGAAAUGUCAGCCUUGCUAAGCUGAUUUGUGCCUGGGCCAAUUUCCCAGUGGGUGUAAUUUCAUUCAGGAAGGAUUGCUUGUGCAAUCUAACCUGGGUAAAGCCACUUCUGUGAAUGCGUUAUGCAUAAAUGUGUACUAUAAUGGAUCCAAUUUCUUGUCUUUCUCGGCUUUUUGUGUUUUGAUUUUAAUUACUUUAAUAAGAAAUACAAAUGGAAUAAUGUUUAUACUACACUGAUAACAGCAAUCAGUUCUCACCAUUAAUAUGUAAUCGCUUGUAUUCCAGCAGCAUCAUCAAGAAUCUUCUCUUUAUGCAGAGUUGUAUUAUCUGUUUUUUAUUCAUUUUCUGGGAAGCGGACCAGCACUGGUAAGACCAUCUCCAACUAUCCUUGAGAAGAUUAUGAUGAGCCAACUUCUUGAAUAGUUGCAAACCUUCUGGUGUAGAUCGUCCAACAGUAUGGCUGGCGAGGGUGUUUCAGAGUUUAGAGGCAUUGAAGAUGAAGGGUCAAGCCAAAAUGGCAUGCACCUUGGAGGGCCAUUAAAAAGUCAUGUCAAAAUGGCUUGCACCUUGAAGGGGAAUGUGCAGGAUGGGCAGUUCUAAUGGACAUGAUGCUCUUGUCCUUGAUAGUUCUGUGGUCGUUCUGUGGGAGUUGCCAAGCUGCUGUCCUCUGGGCAAGUUAUGGUUCACACAACCGACAACUGAUAGAUAAUGAAAGGCCUCUGGACACCAGGAAUCACUUGCCAGAAGACAUCUUACCUUUGUUGUAAUCCUGUAGCCAUGAUAUUUAUGGGAGAAGUCCAGCUGAAUUUUAGGUUUUGGCUGCAGAAAGUUAUGAACUCCGUCAGUUCCACCAUGGGCACUGGCCUCCAUCGCAUCCAGGACGUCUUCCAGGAGCCAUGUCUCAGAAAGGUGGCAUCCACCUUUAAGGGCCCCCUUCACGCAGGGCAGAGUAUUACUGACAUUUUCUGCUUUCUUUUCAGUUUUAUUUUUAUCUUUUAUUUUUUAUUAAAAUCUUUUAUAUUUAUUUGCACCAUUGAAUAAUAUGAAGUGUUACUGAUAUUAAAAUAGCUGGAAGUAAUUUAAAAGUAAAAGGUUAAAACACAUAAAAUCACUUUAAGACAUCAAACUAAAAGAAAUUAGCUUUAGAAAGUCACUAGCUUUUCCCAAUCUGUGUGUGAGAAUAAUAACCGAACUAAAGAGCAUUGAGUUGGAUGAUACACCACUGUGAGAGAUGUGAGGAAUCCGUCAAACAGUAAAUCUCAGAUCAGAUCAGAGAUGGGCUCCACGGUAGUGUAGUCGUUGGUAUGACACUAUUACGGUUCUGGAGUUCAGAGUUCAAUUCCGGCACAGUUCUGUAGGGAGUCUCUGUAUGUCCUCCCACAGUCCAAAGAUGUUCUGAGUAGUUUAAUGGGUCACUGUAAAUUAUCCCAUGAUUAGGUUAGGGUUAAUUGGGUUUGUCAGGAGUUGUUGGGGCAGUGUGGCUCAGAGAGCUAGAAGGACCUACUCCUGGCCGAAUCGCUAAGUAAAAUAAAAAUAAGAAAUAAAGCCCAUCUUGAAUUAAUGACAGUGAAGUAUUAGUGUAACGUGAUUAGUGUACAGUAUGUGUGUGUGCAGUUCCUAGCAAGUGUGGGAGUUUAUAUGCAGGUACAUGUGCAUGUGUGUGAGUGUAUGCAUGCAUGCAUUUGUGUACGUAUGUUGGUCCUCCACCUAAUGUCACUUAACAUGCAGUUAACUGAAUAUUAAUCAUCAAACCACAGAGUCCUUGAAACAGUCUAGAAAUAUUCAGUAUGAUUCAGUUCAGUUACUGCUGUGUCGUUCAUUACUCUGUUCGUUACUGCAGAGCCAGUCCACCCCAAACAAAAUCACACAAAAUAGCAAUAAAGAAGGGGUAACUAGAAAACAGAACCACCUAUAGCAUAAACUUUAGAGUCUCCUAAAAAUGAGAUAAUCCAUCAUCGGAGCCGAUCAAACCUUGCGCAAGAUCCAAGAUGCCUGCACCUUCGUCCAGCAGCAAGCAAGAGGGGGAGGGAGACUGGUCAAGCGCAGGCAGAUGGUGCUGACUACCCACUCGCCUUCUGCUCUCAUCCUUCUUGAUUUCAAUCUUACUUGACGCUUUAAUCGACGAGCUGGUUGAGAAUUGGAGUUGAUCAUGGGUUUGCGGUCAGACCCUCAAUGUGCAUGUUCCAUGUGGGUAUAUGUGGAUGUAUAUGCUUUGGUGUGUGUGUGUGUGUGUGUGUGUGUGUGUGUGUGUGUGUGUGUGUGUGUGUGUGUGUGUGUGUGUGUGUGUGUGUGUGUAUGUGUGUGUGUGUGUGUGUGUGUGUGUGUGUGUGUGUGUGUGUGUGUGUGUGUGUGUGUGUGUGUAUGUGUUCUGGAGCAUAGAGGAAUGAGGGGAGAUUUGAUAGAGGUAUAUAAAAUUAUGAUGGGUAUUGAUAAAGUGAAUGCAAGCAGGCUUCUUCCAUUGAGGAUAGGGGAGAGAAAAAACAGAGGACAUGGGUUAAGGGGGAAAAGUUUAAAGGGAACAUUAGGGAGGGGGCUUCUUCACACAGAGAAUGGUGGGAGUGUGGAAUGAGCUGCCAGAUGAAGUGGUAAAUGCGGGCUCACUUUUAACAUUUAAGAAAAACUUGGACAGGUACAUUGAUGAAAGUUGUAUGGAGAGGCAUAAGGUCCAGGUGCGUGUCAGUGGGACUAAGCAGAAAAAUGUUUCAGCACAGCCAACAAGGGCCAAAAGGCCUGUUUCUGUGCUGUAAUGUUCUAUAGUUCUAUGGUUCUAUGGUUUGUUAACUUCAAACAGAUGUGUAUAAUCACUGAGAUAGAUUUAUCUCAGGCUAUGUCACAUGUAAAUUAGGGAAAGUCUGAUCAAUUGUCAAAAACAUCAGAACGUCUGCAGAUGCUGGAAAUCUCAAACAACACAUACACAAAGCUAGAGGAACGCAGUAGGUCAGGCAGCUUGUAUGGAAAUAAUAAACAGUCGACGUUUCAGGUUGAGGCCCUUCUUCAGGACUGAAGUGUAAGCAGGAAGAUGCCAAGAAUAAAAAGGUGGGGGAGGGGAAGGAGGCUAGCUGGAAGGUGAUAGGUGAAGCCUGGUGGAUGGGCAAAGUCAAGGGCUGGAGAAGAACAAACGUGAUUUGAGAGGGUUGUGGAUGGGACCCUACUACAGAACUGUAAGAAACAAUAGUAUUCAAAAGCACUUGAAAGGACAGACUUUUCUUUAUUGAAGUAUGGAGUUGAUUCUGAUUUGAGCAAUGGAUAAAGCUAUAUGUCAGUCAUGAGCUUUGACAUGUAGUAUAACAAAUUAAGCAUUUAUUUUUUUAAGAAAGUUAAAUACAAUAAAAUGAUUGUAGGAUAUGAAUUCCUGGGAGAUUUCCUGUCCACUACCCCUUAACUUCAAGAGGAUAUUCAGAGCAAUUACAUGAUCUACCAAUUAAGAUUUUUAUCUAAGGAUUUUUGCAAACCUUGCUGAUGAUUACGAAACCUUCAUUCAGAAAAAUACAUUAUGUUUCUGCAUCCAGUUUUAUUGGUAUACAGUAUUUUAUACUGUCCAUUUAUCUUAUCUUCCUAGAGGACCACAACCUUCUCCUUGGGUUUGGAGGCUUGCAUGCUUCAAUAUCCCGGAGACCUAUGUUGUCUGCAGUCAGGGCUCUUGGUCAGGUCACACAUGCCAAUCAGGUCAAAGGGUGGAGGUCAGACUAAGAGUUGUCCAUCGGUCCUCCAGGUUCAGGGAGUUCAGCUCGGUGUUAGUAACUCUGACUGACUAAACAAAACUAUGGAAACAGCAAUGAAGAAUCCUUCAAUACAGACAGAGAUGGAGGACCUUCACUGCUGUGCUGAAUGCCAGCAGUGUAACAGGCAGUAAGUAAACAAGUAAGCAUCCCAUUUACUUGUAUCAGAUGUACCUUAAUUCUUCAGAACCAGACAAAACUUUUCAAACUCUUUUAUAGACAAUGCACAACAAUAAUGCACUGAACAUGAAAAGUGCAAUGGACUGUGACAAAAUAUGGUGAAAUAUAAUGCACAAAUCAACAAGAAAUAAUUUUAGAAAUGAAGUGUUAAGCUCUAAAAUAAAUCUUUCACAGAUUGCUUUUGAAUAAAGGCAGCGUGCAGUAUUUUGUUUUGAAUUCGUGCAUAGUACAGCAAAAAGUGUGACAAUUCCUUGAGAGGCCGUGAGGAAAUCGGUACAGCAUUAGUCUUGGUUCACAGUACAACAUGUUACUGUUUGACUUUCGCAAUGUUAAUGGACGUCAGUUCCAGCAAGUCUCUAUUUGAUUCCAUCCCUGUCGUAAUUCCAACUUCCUUUACAAUGAGAAACCUGCGCUGCUGGGACAAACUGUUUUAUCAGACAAUUGCUGAAAUAGAGGAAAUAUUUCACAAAUAACUUCGGGGAAGAGGCAAGCGAAACUACAGUUAAGAACACUGAGUUUGUGAAUUGAGAAGUAAUGAGGUGUCCAGGGGGGUCUAUAAAUCCUGUCUUCCUUUAUUGUACUGAAUAGAAACAGGAGCAUAAAAUGUUAAGGUUAUUCGCAAACACAAGAAAAUCUGCAGAUGCUGGAAAUCCAGAGCAACUCACAGAAAAUGUCAGACAACUUCAUCAGGCCAGGGGGCAUCUAUGGAAAGGAAUAAACAGUCGACGUUUCGAGCCUAGACCCUACUUCAGGACUGGAAAGAAAGAGGAGAAUACCAGGGAAGUACAAGGUGGCAGGUAGAAGUGCUGAAUGAACCAAGAGUGAUGAAAAUGCAACUUAGUAAUUUCCUACUGAAGGCAACACCAUCCAAAGCAAACAACAGCUGGUAACACCAUGGAGAUUAUGAAUUGACCCUUAACAGAGGGAUGAAUGAUGAACAGUAACACCUGCCCAAAGUUUAUCUGCCACAAUGACUGGGACAAAAGCCUUCAAUAAAUUAGAUUUGUCUCACA